UCUUAUCGAGAGUCGGGGGAGGAACCUGGUCCGUUGAUCCCGCAGCAACCGUUACGAUGAAAGUAACAAGGUGCUAAUUCCAGCAAGCGAAUGCUUGAUAGAUGAGU
This 107-nucleotide non-coding RNA is filed under the name uncultured Ferdinandcohnia sp. Its description in RNAcentral is "SAM riboswitch (S box leader)". It matches the Rfam family "SAM riboswitch aptamer (S box leader)". Rfam says of the family: The SAM riboswitch is found upstream of a number of genes which code for proteins involved in methionine or cysteine biosynthesis in Gram-positive bacteria. The SAM riboswitch acts at the level of transcription termination control. The predicted structure consists of a complex stem-loop region followed by a single stem loop terminator region. The record is from RNAcentral. Lineage: Bacteria; Bacillati; Bacillota; Bacilli; Caryophanales; Bacillaceae.